CCUACGGGUGGCAGCAGUGGGGAAUAUUGCACAAUGGGGGAAACCCUGAUGCAGCGACGCCGCGUGAACGAAGAAGUCUUUCGGUCUGUAAAGCUCUAUCUGCAGGGAAGAAAAUUGCUGUACCUGAGUCAGACUCUCCUGCCAAAUACGUGCCAGCCGCCGCGGUAAUACGUAUGCAGCCCGCGUUAUCCGGAUUUACGGGGCGUAAGGGGAGCGUAGGGGGUCUGCCAGGUCUGAUGUGAAAUACCGGGGCGCAACGCCGGGGCUGCAUUGGAAACUGGCAGGCUGGAGUGCCGAAGAGGCAGGCGGAAUUCCUAGUGUAGCGGUGAAAUGCGUAGAUAUUAGGAGGAACACCAGUGGCGAAGGC
This 367-nucleotide ribosomal RNA is filed under the name uncultured bacterium. RNAcentral's name for it is "partial 16S ribosomal RNA". It matches the Rfam family "Bacterial small subunit ribosomal RNA", at positions 338 to 722 of the family's 1533-position model. The record is from RNAcentral.